AUCUCCCUCGGUCUGGGGCUCCAUGCAAGAUCUCACCUCCCCAGAACUACGUGGCAGGACCUGGUCAAUGACCUGAAGAGAGCUGGGACCACAGUCUCAAAGAAAACCAUUAGUAACACACUACGCCGUCAUGAAUUAAAAUCCUGCAGCGCAUGCAAGGUCUCCCUGCUCAAGUCAGCGCAUGUCCAGGCCCGUCUGAAGUUUGCCACUGACCAUCUGGAUGAUCCAGAGGAGGAAUGGGAGAAGGUCAUGUGGUCUGAUGAAACACAAAUAGAGCUUUUUGGUCUAAACUCCACUCGCCGUAUUUGGAGGAAGAAGAAGGAUGAGUACAACCCCAAGAACACCAUCCCAACCGUGAAGCAUGGAGGUGGAAACAUCAUUCUUUGGGGAUGCUUUUCUGCAAAGGGGACAUGACGACUGCACCGUAUUGAGGGGAGGAUGGAUGGGGCCAUGUAUCGCGAGAUCUUUGCCAACAACCUUCUUCCCUCAGUAAGAGCAUUGACGAUGGGAAACACACAGCCAGGGCAACUAAGGAGUGGCUCCAUAAGAAGCAUCUCAAGGUCCUGGAGUGACCUAGCCAGUCUCCAGACCUGAACCCAAUAGAAAAUCGUUGGAGGGAGCUGAAAGUCCGUAUUGCCCAGCGACAGC
Sander lucioperca (pikeperch) is the source of this 648-nucleotide long non-coding RNA. RefSeq lists it as uncharacterized. The record is from RefSeq and is a predicted model, not a curated record. The transcript is spliced from 2 exons. Lineage: Eukaryota; Metazoa; Chordata; Actinopteri; Perciformes; Percidae.